CUGCUGCCUCCCGUAGGAGUUUGGGCCGUGUCUCAGUCCCAAUGUGGCCGGUCACCCUCUCAGGCCGACUGCUGAUCGUCGCCUUGGUAAGCCGUUACCCCACCAACUAGCUAAUCAGACGCAGACUCAUCUAAAAGCGGGAGCAUUGUUAAGAGGCCUCCUUUCCUAAACAGAAGAUGCCUUCCGUUUAGCUUAUCCGGUAUUAGCAGUCGUUUCCAACUGUUGUCCCAGUCUUUAAGGUAGAUUAUCUACGCGUUACU
This 260-nucleotide ribosomal RNA is filed under the name uncultured bacterium. RNAcentral's name for it is "partial 16S ribosomal RNA". The record is from RNAcentral.